GGGAGGCCGGGAGGGGUCCCUGGGCGGGGAGUUGCUGCGCAUCUGUUGUGUGUGUGCGUCUGUCUGUCUGUUCAGGUCUGUUUUAGGCUGUGUCUGCCUGUCUCUCUGUCUGGGUCUCUUUCAGGCUGCGUCGGUCUGUCUGUCUGGGUCUGUUUCAGGCUGUGUCUGUCUGUCUGUCCGGGUCUGUUUCAGGCUGUGUCUGGGUCUGUUUCAGGCUGUGUCUGUCUGUUUGUCUGGGUCUGUUUCAAUCUGUGUCUGUCUGUCUAGGUCUGUUUCAGGCUGUGUCUGUCUGUCUGUCCGGGUCUGUUUCAGGCUGUAUGUGUGUCUGCUCUUUGCUUCUGCUCCUGGCUCUGUGUGUAUUUCCCGGGUCCUGUGG
RNAcentral lists this long non-coding RNA (376 nucleotides) under Homo sapiens (human). RNAcentral describes it as "HSALNT0395731". Lineage: Eukaryota; Metazoa; Chordata; Mammalia; Primates; Hominidae. The record is from RNAcentral.